RNAcentral lists this ribosomal RNA (253 nucleotides) under uncultured bacterium. RNAcentral's name for it is "partial 16S ribosomal RNA". It matches the Rfam family "Bacterial small subunit ribosomal RNA", at positions 524 to 776 of the family's 1533-position model. The record is from RNAcentral.
UACGAAGGGGGCUAGCGUUGCUCGGAAUUACUGGGCGUAAAGCGCACGUAGGCGGAUCGUUAAGUCAGGGGUGAAAUCCUGGAGCUCAACUCCAGAACUGCCUUUGAUACUGGCGACCUUGAGUUCGGGAGAGGUGAGUGGAACUGCGAGUGUAGAGGUGAAAUUCGUAGAUAUUCGCAAGAACACCAGUGGCGAAGGCGGCUCACUGGCCCGAUACUGACGCUGAGGCACGAAAGCGUGGGGAGCAAACAGG